Molecule: ribosomal RNA, 495 nt
Filed under: uncultured bacterium
Lineage: Bacteria
Description: partial 16S ribosomal RNA
Rfam family: Bacterial small subunit ribosomal RNA
Source: RNAcentral
GAUGAACGCUGGCGGCGUGCCUAAUACAUGCUAGUAGAACGCUGAAGGAGGAGCUUGCUCUUCUGGAUGAGUUGCGAACGGGUGAGUAACGCGUAGGUAACUUGCCUGGUAGCGGGGGAUAACUAUUGGAAACGAUAGCUAAUACCGCAUGACAACAGUUAUUGCAUGAUAACUGUUUAAAAGGGGCAACUGCUCCACUACCAGAUGGACCUGCGUUGUAUUAGCUAGUUGGUGAGGUAACGGCUCACCAAGGCGACGAUACAUAGCCGACAUGAGAAGGUGAUCGGCCACACAGAGCCUGAGACACGGCCCACACUCCUACGGGAGGCAGCAGUAGGGAAUCUUCGGCAAUGGACGGAAGUCUGACAGAGCAACGCCGCGUGAGUGAAGAAGGUUUUCGGAUCGUAAAGCUCUGUUGUAAGAGAAGAACGAGUGUGAGAGUGAAAAGUUCACACUGUGACGGUAUCUUACCAGAAAGGGACGGCUAACUACGUG